Molecule: ribosomal RNA, 399 nt
Filed under: uncultured bacterium
Lineage: Bacteria
Description: bacterial SSU rRNA
Rfam family: Bacterial small subunit ribosomal RNA
Source: RNAcentral
UAAGGAAUAUUGGUCAGUGGGCGCAAGCCUGAACCAGCCAUGCCGCGUGAAGGAUGACGGCCCUAUGGGUUGUAAACUUCUUUUGUACGGGAAAAAACCUCUGGUCGUGUACCAGAGCUGAUGGUACCGUAAGAAUAAGCAUCGGCUAACUCCGUGCCAGCAGCCGCGGUAAUACGGAGGAUGCAAGCGUUAUCCGGAUUCAUUGGGUUUAAAGGGUGCGCAGGCGGAUUAUUAAGUCAGUGGUGAAAGCCUACAGCUUAACUGUAGAACUGCCAUUGAUACUGAUAUUCUUGAGUGUUGUUGAGGUAGGCGGAAUGUGUCAUGUAGCGGUGAAAUGCUUAGAUAUGACACAGAACACCGAUCGCGAAGGCAGCUUACCAAGCAACAACUGACGCUCAU